Brienomyrus brachyistius is the source of this 9933-nucleotide long non-coding RNA. RefSeq lists it as uncharacterized. Lineage: Eukaryota; Metazoa; Chordata; Actinopteri; Osteoglossiformes; Mormyridae. The transcript has 4 exons. The record is from RefSeq and is a predicted model, not a curated record.
GAGCACUCGUACAUGCAGUGGUGGGAUUUUUGGGCAGUGAAAGCUUUGCUUUGUGCUAAAGUCAACAGUGGCGUUUGAGCUCAAAUAAAUGACGGGAUGACUUCGACCAUCUGCAGUGGCUCACAGGAGAAGCGUUACCACUGGAGUUUGGCGCGGUAUAAUAUGCAACAUCCGGAUCUGUGUCAGGAUAUUCCUGGGAGAUGUAAUGGAGUCAUCUGUGAUUUGUUUGGAGGGUAUGCCUGAGACGGUCUGAUCUACAAUCGAGGGAAGAGCUCCUCUGCACCUCCAGGAACUAGUGCAAAAGGAGGCCACUCUGGAGCUCACAGGACUCUCAGAGCAUUCAAACUGGCCAGGAGGGUGAACUAGAAGCGGAUGAAUAAUUGAAGGCAUGAUGCAGUUGAAGUGGAUGAAAUGUGCUUGCGGCACCUUCAGUCUGGUUUGAACACUAUUUAAGGGAAGGGUCUCUGGGGCUCUGCUGGAGAUGGGAGGUAGGGAGCUCUACAGUGGUUCGGCUCUAUCCUUUGCAUCACUCAAAAAGCUGCAUUGGAGGAGAUAGCCAUGAAGGGCCACAAGCUGUGCCCAUCCAGUAUCCCCAAUCCUAAACGUGGACAGUGUUUAUUAGGCCACCAGUCUCCUACCUGUUGAUAUAAAACAGGAACCUUUGUUUAAACUAUGAAGUCAGUUGUUCCUUUUUUUUUUUCUUUUGUUAACUGUGCUCUUUAACUUGAUUUAGGCUGUCAGACAGAUUAUUGUUCUGGGCCUGAAUUUAUGGCCCUUUUUAACUGGAGUGCCACCCUCCACUGGAAUACUUUACGGUGUUUAUAUACAUUUGCGCGACACUUGAACACUUGGUUGAGCCCUUUGUUGCAAAAUUACAUAAAUUGUGCUCUUGUGAAAAUAAUAACAGGGUGCAAUAUUAUCGGAAUUGCAUCAUGUAUGUUCUCCAAAAUCUUUUGUAUGUGAUGAGUAUGUCUACUGUACUGUGAUUGGGCCUAUGACUGACCUUUAAAGAGGGUUUGCCCUUCUUAAGGUUCAUUUAUGUGAAAUAAAAUGGAAAAUUUCACCACCCUGCGUGACACUGCUCCUCCUCUUUACUUUUUUUCGCCCAGGUAAGGAUAAGCUCACCUGUGAAUACUUCCAUUAUAGUUGCCAUGACAGCAUCAGUACCUCCCAUUUGAUAAGUCAUAGGACCACUUCAAGUUCGACUGUAAAAAAAAAAAAAAUGCAUGUUUCAGGUAUUCAGGUAUUGGAGUGUGGGGUUUAGUAAGAAGUCUUAUCGCUGGGCGGAUCGUAGGGAUUCUGAAAAUUGUGGCUUGCAGCCUAUCAUGGUUGUGCCAUAUCUCUGUCUUGGCCUUAUCACAGUUCUGCUUCUAACUUUUGGUCAAAUGUCUCCUUUAUAAUCAAUGACUCUCGGCCUGUGUCAGAUACACCCUCUCACAAAGCACCUCGCUAACAGCCGACCAACUCUCCACUCUCCCAGAUAAUCCCCUCUGUUUUUGAGUCUUGCUUCUGGACUCACAUUGACCUUCUUGCCACAUGUACCCUUCCUUUUUGACAGGGGGAGACCUAAACACUCCUGCUGACACAUGAUGAGCAGAUGGAAAUUUGAGGAAUCCCACGACACCUAUCCCAACACACGCACUUAGAAUGUGGCCAUUCUGAAAGCUCCUCUUCAGCUCGACCCCAAGACAAACCUUUGACAGGAGAGAGAUGAGGGUCACGCUCUCCUUCACGCUGCCGUGGUAGAGAGCAAGGGCUCCUCAAGUUAACCCAGGUGGCGGGAAAGACCUCGAAACCACAUGAGAGGUGCACGGCUAAGAAGGGGUACAGUACAAAUCAAAUAUCAGGAUCCCAGUGCUGUUCUUACAGCAUUAACUUGGGCUUCUAUCUGUUUCUCAGCAGCAUGCUGUUGGGUGCUGUAUGUUACUGACUAGAUUAUAUGAAUAAGAAUUCCUGUGUGCAGCUGUACAGAAGGCAAAUAGAAGAAUCUUGUAUGACUUGGCAGAAGCCUCCAGAGGCUAUGUCCAAGCAUCAUUACAGCCAACUGGCUCAGCUCUGGAGGUCAGGACUUACUCUCUCCCUGAGUCUCUGCUCAGCACUUACAGGAGUCAGUGCUCUUUCUGUGUAGUAGAUAGAUAUAUAAAAAAAAUAACACUGUGGUUCCAUUGGCCCCAAUCCAUAACACGCAUAUCAAUGCAAGGUGUGGAAAGAAGACUGUCAUUUUAGUGGAAUGAAUAGAAAUGUAAGCAGUAAGACACCAGCUAAGAGCACCAUCUUAAUUUGCCAGUACCUCCACUGCAUCGAUCCCAACCACAAACACGAGACGACCAAGUGCCAGGCAGCGUCAGAGAGUGGUGGCAAAGGAAAGGCGGCCAUUAAUGAUUAACUCUCGGAGCUGGGGCCCUUUGUGUUCGCUGGGUGCCGAGGCUAUCUGGCCAUCACAUGACACGUCGUUUUCUUUGGGCAGAUUCAGGAAAGCUGGUGAGCAAACACAGGUGCUCCGGAGUCAGUGGCGCUGUCAAGGACGACUGCAAACAAGAGUGGCGAUGGCCGACCCCGCCUCCCGGCUCCAGCAGGUUCCGCCACCUCAUAAUCCCACCCACCACUUUUCCAGUCCAGCUUUCUUUUUAUACUGCUUAUGGUAAUUAAUAACUAAAGGUAACAGCGUGUUUUCUUCAAACAGCACAUUUUAAUGCCCAAAUUAAAAUAAACUGGAUUAUUUCUUUUUUUAUGACCACCUCACCCAAAAUAUUAACCAAGAACUCACAGAGCAAGCCACCUCGAUAAAUACUAAAUAUUUGUAUGUAUGAAUGUAUGUGUUUGUGGGUUUGUGUGUGUCUAUAACAGAAGAUGCUUUAAGUGUAAUUUUCUAAAACUUACACGGUAAAUAAAAAGGUCAAAUUAGAGACGUUGCCAUGGACACGCCGGUCACAUGCCAUGCCAAAUGAUGGCCGACACCCACCUGAGAAGAUUGGGCACGUGGAAGCAGCCAGCUGCUGACAGGAACGUGUGCUUUUCAGUGCCUGGGCUGUAAUAGCAGACAGACGUGUAUGACAGCUUCCCCAGCUCACAUGGGGAAACCAGCCUAGGGGUCACCUGUCGGCCUGCGCAGAAGCCAGAUUGGAGUGUGGAGAAACUAAGAGCAGGAAGACAGGUCUGCCUGAGGCUGAGGGGUGCAGAAGGGCAGAAAUGAGCAGACGUCUCCCAUCACAAAAGCUGAAGAAACAGAGAAAGCUGUUUGUUACUUAAUAAGCUGUUUUUAUCACUAAUUUGAGUGAUAAAAUCUUAUCUUCAAAUCAAUCGUACAGGCUGUGGAAGUAGAAUAUGCAAUCAGGAUAAUAUAUAAUUUAUUGAUCUCAGGGGGGAUUUCCAUAUGCUUGUAUGUGAGAGUUCUUAAGACUGUAUGACAAAUCAAAUUUUGAAGAUGCAUCCAGGGGAGAAGGGGAGCUGACAUGGAGCAGCACAGACUCCGGCAGCAAGGACAAGUGUCAGCCCUGAGGCAUAUGCAGAGGCCCCUGGUCUGGAGAUAAGAGAGAAGUGUUGAAUGAGAAUGACUGGCUAAACAGGGGGGGGGCUGGAUCUCAGCCAGCACUGAUAAAAGUACCCAGACAGCGGCCAUAGGUGGGGAAGCAAAGGGAGGGUCAGACGGAAAAUGAUGUGUGGCAUCGGUGUUGACUUCCUGACCCUCUACUGCAAAUAAGGAUAGAUAAGAACUGUGGUUUUGGGGUUUUGGGGAUACUACCUACAGUAUGACCCACCCCCAGUGCUCUACAUGUCGGCUCUGAUGCUAACAGAAGGUAGGAAAGUCAAGUUUCUCCCAUAAACAUGUGGAAUUGUGAGGUUUGUUUAGAGGUUUCCGAAAAGAAUCUUUGUGAAAUGCUGACAGUGGUCUAGUAGGUCCCUGGGGGGCUGAUCCUAGUAAAACAACAAACCCAACCAAAUCACUAAAAAAUCAAGAUCGGGACUCCACCUUUGGAUCAGAGACACCUUUGGGUUAGUCGGUGUGGUCACAUUUUGAGCUGUGCCUGGUGUGAACCGUCUCUCAUGUGCCUGUUAUAAAUUAGCUAGAAAUAUGGAUUCCAGCUUGUACUGUUUAUGUAAAUUGAUUAUUUCCACAUUGUCAAGAUUAAUUUUCUCAUGCUCUACAUACCAUCUUUUUGUUGUUGCUUGAAUGUUAUAUUCUCCUUUCUAUGGUUAGUGUUAAAUAAUGCUUUGUAUUGUUUGUCAAUUUUGCAACUUGUUCAACGGCUCAUGCUGGUUAGAGUCAAAGGGAAUGACAUUUACAAAUGAAGCAGACAUGGUGGUUCAGUGCGUAUCCCAUCUCCAUUCUAUGUGUAGAGUUUGCAUGUUCUCCCUGUGUCUUGUGGAGUCUCCAUAGGUGUCUCUAAGUUGUGUAUGCGUGAUUGUGCAUGUGUAUGACCUACAAUCGGUUGGCCUCCCGUCCAUCAUGCAUAUAUUUUCAGUAUUCGUGAUAUAAUUUCAAUAGGUAAAAUGUGUAAAAUUGCACUUUCAAAGCUGUUUAUUCUGUCAUUACCUAAGGAGUAAUGAAAUGAAUUAUAUGAAAAAUAUAAUAUUUUACGCAACUCCAUCCAUCCAUCCAUUUUCCAAACCGCUUAUCCUAUUGGGUCGCGGGGGGUCCGGAGCCUAUCCCGGAAGCAAUGGGCACGAGGCUGGGAACAACCCAGGAUGGGGGGCCAGCCCAUCGCAGGGCACACUCACACACCAUUCACUCACACAUACACACCUAUGGGCAAUUUUGCAACUCCAAUUAGCCUCAGCAUGUUUUUGGACUGUGGGGGGAAACCGGAGUACCUGGAGGAAACCCCACGACGACAUGGGGAGAACAUGCAAACUCCACACACAUGUGACCCAGGCGGAGAUUCGAACCCAGGUACCAGAGGUGUGAGGCAACAGUGCUAACCACUGCGCCACCAUGCCGCCCCCAUUUUACGCAACUCCAACUGCUGAAAUGCCAGAGCACUGUGAUUUAUUACAAAUGACCCUGUGCCAUGUCAUUGGGAGCUGGGAAUUCAGUACACAGAUGAAUAAACCGCUGUGGUUCUCUUGCUUCAUUACAAUGCCUCUUCAUGCCAUCGGCACACUCCUCAAGAUGGAGAAAGUCGUAAAUCCCGGCUAUUAUAUGGGCCAAUGGUGCCGGAUGUGUUCUUCAGUGCUGUCGCUUUGGUUGGAAUGAGGCUGCUUUUAACUGCCUUCUUCCAUUCAAGGCCUCACAAAUAGUUGUUCUUCUGAUCUGAAGACUUGUAGGUGAGGUACGUUUAUGACCAGGCCAUGUACCGAAGUGCCUCCCUUUCUAAACAAGCCCCCCUCCACCACACACACUGCUCUGAAUAGCCCUGUUAAACCCCUGCUGAAAGAGUCUACAAAAAAACACUGCUGCUCAUAGAGAGAAAGAAAAACACAUAGGUAGCCGGACACGUAUGUAGACACCUACCCGCUCAGCCGUAAAUAACGAGCAGCUAACCAGACAACAGGCAACCUCUUGAGGCAAGAAUCUUGAUGAAAAAAUCAAACAGUAUGAAGCUCUAAAAGUCAACAGGGACCACACUCUGUGGGCGAGGACCCUACAGAUAGGCGUAAACUCAGCAUAUGCAAAACACAAGGGCUGUUUAGACCUGUCAGUGCUGGAAGAUCGGGCUCCAGGCUAACAAAGAGGCAUGUCCCUAACCAAGUGACCACACAUGCUGAGUGACUCUGUAUGUUCCUGCUGUGCCACAAAUGAAUGAAUCACACAGUUUUCUGUGAUAAAUUGCAAUCAGUCGUACCUAAUACCUACAUUUAUGUAAAAUUACCACAAAGGGGAAUUCUUACCACAUGGGGCAUUCUUAGGAAUCCCACUACCAAAUAAAUUUUUUAUAAUUCAUAGUUUGAAGGAAUUACAUGUCAGCUUAAUUGUGCAAACUGUCAAUUUCAAUCAGAUAAUCAGGGUUAAUCAGUUUUAUGUUGUUAUUUCUUUCUGUAAUAAAAAAAAGUAUUUCAUCAAAUACAAUUACAAUACUAACAACAAAUUGAACAAAAAUAUACUAUAGCUUAUCAUAGAAACUGAAAAAUUGAAGAGAAUUAAAAACAAUUUACGUAUUUAUGUGUUACUGGCUUUUGGAUACCUAUUUGGGGAAAAUAAUGAGAUCGGAGCACAAAUAACAUCAUUCUAAUAUACCUAAAAAGUUAAGGUAAUGUCAUUUGCUCUACACAUUUGCUCUUUUUGUUACAAAAAUUCUGAAGUUUGUGAGAAUGACCCAUAUUUUUAUAUUUAUUUAAUGAUUUAACUUAAGCUUCUGAUGUGCAAAUUAUUCAUUUCCAACUAAAAAUACUACUUUUUGUACAAGCCAUAUUUCAAUGGUUUGACGAUAGCUCGAUGAACAGGUGGCAAUAAGAAAAGAGAGGGAUUGUAUUAUAAGUAGGGAUGUUCAAUGAUUAUUUUUUAAUCACAUACCUAAUUAAUAUACCACAUGUACAAAUAACACACAGGUAUUGAACAGGCAGAUCAACACACUAUUUAUUCCCAACCAUGUAAGUGUUUUAUAGCAAAUAGCUAUAAAGGGGUCUAAUAACCUCUUAAGAAAGAUCUUAAGAUUUUAAGGUAUAAGCCUUACGAUACUCUUAUUCUAUGCAUGUCCCCGUCUUGUAUUUUUAUAAAAUAAAAUAAACCACGUAUAAUCAGCUUCCCUGUGAGAUGCUAACAGAAUGUUCUGAUUUUAGUUCUGAAUUCUGGGAUUCUGUGCAAUGUCACACCCUAAACUGUCACAUUUUUUACAACCAGGAAGGAAUAUUAUAGGUCUAUAUUAAAAUCCAUGGUCAUACUAUUCCUACAUUUGGGUACUGCAUGUGUUAAAACUAUUAAAGAAAUAAUGCGUUAUGACUAAAAUUAAGGGUGCCAUGGUGGUGCGGUGGUUAAUACUGUCACCUCACACCUCUGGGAGCUGGUUUUGAGUCUCCACCAGAGUUCCAUGUGUGUGGAGUUUGCUCAUUCUCCCUGUAUCAUCGUGGGGUUUCCCCCGGGUACUCCCAUUUCUCCGGACAGUUCAAAACCAUGCUGAUGCUGAUUAGCUGCUAAAUUGCCCGUAGGUGUGCAUGUGUGAGUGAAUGGUGUGUGAGUGUCCCCUGCGAUGGGUUGGCACCCCAUCCUAGGUUGUUCCCUAGCUUGCACCCGUAGCCUCCAGGACAGGCUCUGGACCCCCAGCAACCCUGAACUGGAUAAGCGGGUUCUGAAAAUGAAUGGAUGGGAAGUAAAAUUAAUGCAACGUUAACAUGAUAAAUUUCCUAGUCCUAAUGAAAAUAAUUAAUUGCUUUGCUAUUAAAAGACAUAAGUUAUAUAAAUAUCCAACAAUUGAGAUUAAUAUGCUAAAUAAUGAUCCUUUAUUUGCCAUUUGCACAAGUACAAGUAAACUGUAACAUAAACAUGAGAGAAAGCUUGGGUAAGGGGGGUAUUACAGCACAAGGUCAGCCAGUACACAGCGCCCUGGAAGCUGGGGGUUAAAGGCAUUGCUCAAGGGCCCACAGACAUGUGACUAUUCUGCCUCGGCUGGGACUCAUACUCGCAAUCUUCUGAACAAUGGCAGAAAGACUCAGUCCACUGAGCCACUCACCAUGACCAGGCAAGUAAGAUUAAAAUGCUCACUCAUUCCAGAGACUUCUCUGUUCCUGUUUUACAUUAAUUUGAAGAAAUAAGUCUGCUAAAUAAAUAGUUAAGUAUUUUAUGUAAUAUUCAAUCUCUUACCAGUAAUGUGUUUUAUGACAUAAAAAAGAUUCUAAGUAAUUUUGGUGGAUAUAUAAAAAGAGAAUAGUUGCAAAUCACAUGCAUUUGUUUUUUUCAAGCAGGUUUGAAAACAGCCCUCUGCAGAGAGCACCUGUCAAACGUCAAACAUUGUUAGCACAUAGCAAAUUCUCUCUCACUUUCUAAAUGAUGACUCAUUGGCUCAAUGGGCUAGAGGGGGGCACAGCAUGUACCUGUACCACUUCACCACCCACCUGUUGCCCAGCUACCUGUGUGGGCUGGAUAGAGUGGGCGGAGCAAAGAGUCAGCCCAGAAGGGAUGCUAGAAAGUUCACCCGGGAAUGAUGCCCGUGAAGCCCGAGCUUGGUUGGUUGAUCUCGGCAGUUAUGGGCGUACAACAGCAGAUGACUGACGGCAAUUCACCUGGAGCAGGUUCACAUUCAGGACCAUGCCUCUCCUUUGUUGUCUUUGUGCAUUCAUGACCGACAUUUCUAAAGCUCUUUCUGGCAAGCAGCUACAGUAAGGUUACUGCAAAGAGUUUGGCACUAUUGGAAGACAGUUUGACUCACUGUUGCAUGAGACAGCAUUCUUAAUCAAAAUCUUUGAUUGUAUGAACAAAAUAAUAAUUUGUUGAAUGAGCGCAUCCAUCUGUCACCACAGGAAGGCUGUCUAUUGCACAUUAUAUUUACUCAGUAAUACCUUUUCCUGCUUUGCGUCAACGUGUGUUGCAAACAUUUGGUUCAUACAUUAACCAUUUUGGUUUUAUCCUAUCCAAAUUGCAUAGUUUUAAACUACAUACCUUUAGAGAGUGGGUGAAAACCAAAAACAUAGAGAACAUACAAACUGCAUGCACACAGAGCCAGGACAGGGUGCCGGAUCCACUGCAGAUAUGAGAAAUCCAGGCCUCUACUUACCUUGUCUAAUGCCACAAAGUGGUACUACAGCUUGAUGGCACACAUGGAUGGAGCCCUGUUUGGCCCCUGAUUAGAAACAUUUACACUGACUAAUAGAGUUGGCUAGGUCAUAUGACCUGGCAUGGGUUUGAUGGCUUUUUCCAGAAGACUGAGUGGAAAAACAUAAGAGGACUCAAACAUUCACUUUUCUCUUCUUGGCAACUAUCAGCAAACUUCCUGAUGAUAUUCAGGCCGGGUAAACAGUCAGCCUACUCUGUAUGCGAUCCAUAAACCAAUCAGUGAACAUUUGGAAAGAUUAACAAACAUGGCGGCCUGUUGUAUCGCUCCCUCAAAAUGUUUAUAAAACUUUUCUUAUUCAUCCAUCCGCCUGUGCUGUCUCGCUGGUGUCACUUUGCGGGAGCCUUAGCGAAACACACAGUUGUCCAUGUAAACAGCCCGUGCUGAAAACUAGCCAUGUCUAUUGGCUUACAAACGUCCUCUGAUGUUUUCUUUCCCCCUGAGUUUGUUCUGGAGACUAAUCAGGACCCGAUAAAGCCCACGGCAAAUACGCAGGAGAUGGCCAUCCACAUGUCGAGGUUUGCACAGUCCCCGCGAGUGUACGUGCGGAUGGGGUACUCAGAGAUGACGGACUCAUGCUGGGUGAAGGACAGGGGGAGGUUACUCUGAGGAGAGCCCAAAGACGCGAGAGAAGGAGAGGCAAAGAAAGAAGAACCAGUGAUAUGAGUAGAUGAAAGGGUAAAAAGAAGGAAGACAAGAUGAAGAAGAAACGUAAAAGAUGUGACAGGAAACAAGAGUGGGGAAGACUUUUUUAACAAGGUUCCUAAAAGGCCUCUAAUUUAUACCCCAUUCAAUUUUAAUUCACAAUAGUGAAAUUCAUAGGAAAGAGAAUCCAGCAAAGUCAAUAAAAGUUGUCAGGAAGAGAAAGUCACCAUGAUUUGUAAAUAAAUUCCAGACAUUGGCCUGUUGGCAAGACUGUAUGUUUUUACUCUCUGAUUUUCUGAAAUGAUUAACUAAAAACAAACAAUGUUAAAAUAAUUUUUGACUGUGUUAUAUGUAGUGAGAGCCAGCACAGUGUUGCAUCACACUUAUAAGGAUGGGGGGUUGAAUCCUUCCUCUACUUUCUGUGUAGUUCACAUCUUCUGUCUGCAUCUUGCGAGUUUCUCUAGGUCCGGUUUCCCGACGCAUUUCAGAGACACACAGUUAAGACUGGCAUCUCUAAAUAGCCUGCAGACUGAUAACUGUCUAGGAUAAAAAGUUGAACAACCGAUGAAUAAAUAAUUUGGCCAUA